UGCAUAGUCAGAAAAGAACUACAACAUCAUUGAUUAGAAUGGAUCACUAUAAGCGAAUGAAGUUCGACAACUCAGAAACUUCAUUGGUUGACGUAGGAAAAGUUGAUACGGAUGCAAAUGACGAGAAUCAGAUGUCUAAAAAAGAGGUUAACUCCCAGAAACUUCAAGAGUCUGAAAU
Non-coding RNA from Phoenix dactylifera (date palm), 178 nucleotides. The record is from RefSeq and is a predicted model, not a curated record. NCBI's taxonomy places the organism in Eukaryota, Viridiplantae, Streptophyta, Magnoliopsida, Arecales, Arecaceae.